UAGUUUUAUUUUUAGUCUGAAGAGCAACUCUUAUCCUUCCGACCCCAUCUAGGUUAACUCUGCACACCUUCAGAUUUCUGGCUAAAGAUGGCUGCAGUAGAAAGAUUUCUCCAGAGUUCCUUUCUCCCAUCAUCCAGCAGAGCACUGAAUGAACAAGGGGAAGAAGCCAAGACAAUGUUGUCAUUUGGGGGGAGAUCGUGAAGUAGAAUAGAAGUUCCCUGAAGGGAGAAGCCCCUGAAGGUCAUGUUUAUUCCCUGAUGACAGGAGUGCCAACCCCACCAGUUAACCAGAGAAGCAACAGAACACCUUGUACUAUGGCCACAAUGGUUGAACUUGUGGGAGAGCAAUAGCUGACCAGAGGAAGUCCUGUACCAGGUCCUGUCCUGGCCCUGUCCUCCACUCAUCUGGGAUGUUGUUCUACUUAAAGAGCAUAGGCUGAGUAGUAGAUUGAGCGUAAUUUUUAAGAGCCCUAGGAUCUUCAGAAUGGUUAAUGAACACUGGCUUCAACUUAAAGUCAC
Long non-coding RNA from Myotis brandtii (Brandt's bat), 518 nucleotides. RefSeq lists it as uncharacterized. The transcript is spliced from 3 exons. NCBI's taxonomy places the organism in Eukaryota, Metazoa, Chordata, Mammalia, Chiroptera, Vespertilionidae. The record is from RefSeq and is a predicted model, not a curated record.